Molecule: ribosomal RNA, 43 nt
Filed under: Neoacrodontiella eucalypti
Lineage: Eukaryota; Fungi; Ascomycota; Lecanoromycetes; Acarosporales; Acarosporaceae
Description: partial 28S ribosomal RNA
Source: RNAcentral
UAUCGACCUCGGAUCAAGUAGGAUUACCCGCUGAACUUAAGCA